UCGUCCUACGGGGGGCAGCAGUGGGGAAUAUUGGGCAAUGGAGGAAACUCUUACCCAGCAAUGCCGCGUGAAUGAAGAAGGUCUUCGGAUUGUAAAGUUCUUUAAUUGGGGACGAAAAAAAUGACGGUACCCAAGGAAUAAGCCCAGGCUAACUACGUGCCAGCAGCCGCGGUAAUACGUAGGGGGCAAGAGUUGUUCGGAAUGACUGGGCGUAAAGGGUGCGUAGGCGGGGUAGCAAGUUAGAAGUGAA
This 250-nucleotide ribosomal RNA is filed under the name uncultured bacterium. Its description in RNAcentral is "partial 16S ribosomal RNA". It matches the Rfam family "Bacterial small subunit ribosomal RNA", at positions 334 to 598 of the family's 1533-position model. The record is from RNAcentral.